CCUACGGGAGGCAGCAGUGAGGAAUAUUGGUCAAUGGUCGCGAGCCUGAACCAGCCAAGUAGCGUGAAGGAUGACUGCCCUACGGGUUGUAAACUUCUUUUAUAAAGGAAUAAAGUGAGGCACGUGUGCCGUUUUGUAGGUACUUUAUGAAUAAGGAUCGGCUAACUCCGUGCCAGCAGCCGCGGUAAUACGGAGGAUCCGGGCGUUAUCCGGAUUUAUUGGGUUUAAAGGGAGCGUAGAUGGGUUGUUAAGUCAGCUGUGAAAGGUCGCGGCUCAACCGUGGAAUUGCAGUUGAUACUGGCAGUCUUGAGUACAGUUGACGUAGGCGGAAUUCGUGGUGUAGCGGUGAAAUGCUUAGAUAUCACGAAGAACUCCGAUUGCGAAGGCAGCUUACUAAACUGCUACUGACAUUGAUGCUCGAAAGUGUGGGUAUCGAACAGGAUUAGAUACCCUUGUAGUC
This 460-nucleotide ribosomal RNA is filed under the name uncultured bacterium. Its description in RNAcentral is "partial 16S ribosomal RNA". It matches the Rfam family "Bacterial small subunit ribosomal RNA", at positions 338 to 795 of the family's 1533-position model. The record is from RNAcentral.